Salvia hispanica is the source of this 2744-nucleotide non-coding RNA. NCBI's taxonomy places the organism in Eukaryota, Viridiplantae, Streptophyta, Magnoliopsida, Lamiales, Lamiaceae. The record is from RefSeq and is a predicted model, not a curated record.
UAGUUAGUUGUCGAUUGCAAUUAUCAAUUAUGGCUUUCCAAUCGAGCAGCUUAGUAUUAUCUUCUUCAUCAACGUGCAACUUUCUUCCAUGGACUGACACUCUCCAAAUUCCAAUUCCAUCUUUCCACUCGGAGCCGCUGUAAAUGUGGAUUAUCCGCUGAAGAUGAUUUCAAAUUUGUGCUUCAUGAUGCGCUUGAUUCUUCCGGCAUCGAUGCGUCUCACGCGCCAGGGCUGCAAGGGUAGGCUUUUGCUCGCUGAUAAAAGAGUUCUCUGACAUUGAGAGAGGAACAAGUAUCGCUGUUAAUAGAGGGGUAGAUUUAGCCAGAGCAGCUCUUCAUAUCACAGCUGAAGAUGACCCCCUCAUCUCGCACUCUUCUGUUCCAUUGCCAGUUGAUUAGAUUAGAUACCCUCUCCAUGGGAUUUUGCUCUCAAUACAGCUCCUCAUUUAGAUCCUCACCCGACAAUUUUCUUGACUGUUUAGAACGAUACCUAUACCUCUGUUUCCAUGCUCUCCCUUAUAUACUCAGAGAUUCUACAGAUUCUUCACAUGUUGGGUGUCCUGAAUUUUGAUGUAGAAAUCUUCUUUCCCCGUGAUUUACAUAGUUCUCCCAGAGGGUAUCUAAAACAAAAGAGCAAAGAAUCUGAUCAAUCACAUAUUAUGACAUCACAAUCUUUACUAGUGGAGGUGAUAAUUUUGUUAAUUGCUGUCUAGUUAAAUAUGGGCCAUAUGAUCCUUUACGGAAGAUACUGAAAGAUUUAAAGAAUGCUUUCUGGCCAUAUCAACUUGAUCAUGCUAGGAGUUCAUUCCUAAGGGCCGCAGAAGCUGCUCAUUGCGUCACUGGUGCCAACAAUGCUAAUGAAAGUGCCUCAUGGCUUGCCUCUGCCAAGGUUGCCCGCCAUCGGCUGCAACGAGGUUUUGGACUAGUGUUCAUUUUGGAGAUAUGCGUCGUGCAUUAUCAGUAGCAAACUGGUUCGGACACCAAUGUCGAGGAAGAAGCCGUAGAGAAACUAGUAGUACGACUGAACCUGAUUUUGAUGGAGGUUGGUUGGUCAAAACAACCGGAGCCCAGGAAUAUCCUUUUCAAAAACUCUGAACCAUGGUAAUAUCCAGGUCUUAUUUCAUUUUGCUAAUGUUGUAAUAUAAUGUGUACAUAUCAUAUAUAUUCCCUUGUAUAAUUGUAUUUGUAUAGCUGAUGAGUUUAUAUUAGAGACACAUAGGAAAUAGUUUAUGGGAAUCCAGCCUCUAUUUUUGUUGUUCUCUUAUUUCCCCAUUUCAGUUGACGAGUUGCAGAUAUGGCUGAUAUGGCGAAAAUUAUCUAAAUCGGUUAGAAAAUAUAUUUUCAACUUGAGCAUCAAAAUGACAUUGAAAUGGCUCCAGUGUGGUGCUGAAAGUAUAUUUUUGACGUUGUUUUGAUGCUUAACCGAAAAAUAUAUUUCCACAUAAUUUAAAAAUUAAAUUAAAUUAUCCAAAUUAACUUGAGUUUUCCACCUCAGUAUCCAGAUUAUUUCAAGUCAACUUCUUUUUGCAAUAAUUCAAAGGUCAGACCAUUUCUACAUGGCCAAAGACAAGCCAAAAAAUGUAAUAAUGGUAAGCAUUAAUCAAAGUAUAUGAAAAGUAAAAACUAUUCCGAAUUCUAAGUAGGAAACAUGACGAGGUACUAAUAAUUGGUACUAUGUUUCCUUGUAUUGUAUAUUAUCUCAUUGCCGUUGUUGUGUACAAAGCUUAUUUUGUGUAGUGGCCUUGGACCAAAAGAAUUGGUACAAAAAUGGUAGCUAUAAAUACAACAAGAUGGAUCCAUCAUCAACCGUCUUCUGUAAAAACUCUGAAUAUGAAAUCCCUGAAGCGUUUGGAGUAUUGCUUGGGAUCCACAGCUGAGAUAGAGGUCGGGUCGAACUGGAAUGACUUGUAGGCGUGCUCGAGCUUCUUGCUAAUAUCGUAGUCUUGCAGGAUGUCAAUGAUGCCGAAAAUGAGGACCACGUCGUAGUACUCCCCUGUCGGCUCUCCCACUAGCUGAGCCUCCCCAUUAUUUUUCCUUACUGUCAGCUCGGCUCGUGCAGGGAUGUUGGCACCUAGUUUGAAUGUUGUCGACCUGCCACAACCACUUGUCAUUUUUUCUGAUAGGAAUAAGAAGAUUGAUUGAUUUUGGGAAGCAUCUUACUGGCUGAGGUCCGGUGAUCCGUUGCCUAGAGGCGUUCGGGCACCCAUAAUUAGGGGCUCCCCGGCAUUGGACAGGUCUUUGAAGUGAAUGCCAACAAGAAGGCUGUAAUCCAUGAUUCUCUCUUGUUCAAAAAUCUCUGAACCAAGACUUGUGCAAACGGAAUAUGAAGUUCAAAUCGAGGUCCUUGAGGGUCAUGGUUGGUUCAAUCUCUGAUUCGGGCUUGUCAGUUAGGCGGCCGUGGGAGGAGCCUUUCAGAUCAAAGCGUCGGUGGAUGGCAUAUUCCGUGCAAAACAGAUUCCCAAUGAUCACAAACCGCACCUGCUUGAGUCAAUCACAUUAUGAGAAUGAAUGGAUGAUAUUAAUAGCAAAAUGAAUGUGUGUUCUUGUUGGUUACCUUCUUCUGCGCAGCGCCAGUCAACUUCACGCAAUGGAGACCGUAGAAUUUGGUGACAAGGGUGUUUUCAAACGCACGGACGUGCUUAUAGUAAUCUGAAAGCAUUCUGAUAAGCACCUGCUAAACAACCAUCUCUUAUGUUAUAUCUUGUAUGUUCAAGAUUUGAAAUUAAUAUAAUAGAUUUGAACUCA